Molecule: ribosomal RNA, 800 nt
Filed under: Pseudoalteromonas translucida
Lineage: Bacteria; Pseudomonadati; Pseudomonadota; Gammaproteobacteria; Alteromonadales; Pseudoalteromonadaceae
Description: bacterial SSU rRNA
Rfam family: Bacterial small subunit ribosomal RNA
Source: RNAcentral
AGCCUGAUGCAGCCAUGCCGCGUGUGUGAAGAAGGCCUUCGGGUUGUAAAGCACUUUCAGUCAGGAGGAAAGGUUGGUGGUUAAUACCCGUCAUGUGUGACGUUACUGACAGAAGAAGCACCGGCUAACUCCGUGCCAGCAGCCGCGGUAAUACGGAGGGUGCGAGCGUUAAUCGGAAUUACUGGGCGUAAAGCGUACGCAGGCGGUUUGUUAAGCGAGAUGUGAAAGCCCCGGGCUCAACCUGGGAACUGCAUUUCGAACUGGCAAACUAGAGUGUGAUAGAGGGUGGUAGAAUUUCAGGUGUAGCGGUGAAAUGCGUAGAGAUCUGAAGGAAUACCGAUGGCGAAGGCAGCCACCUGGGUCAACACUGACGCUCAUGUACGAAAGCGUGGGGAGCAAACGGGAUUAGAUACCCCGGUAGUCCACGCCGUAAACGAUGUCUACUAGAAGCUCGGAGCCUCGGUUCUGUUUUUCAAAGCUAACGCAUUAAGUAGACCGCCUGGGGAGUACGGCCGCAAGGUUAAAACUCAAAUGAAUUGACGGGGGCCCGCACAAGCGGUGGAGCAUGUGGUUUAAUUCGAUGCAACGCGAAGAACCUUACCUACACUUGACAUACAGAGAACUUACCAGAGAUGGUUUGGUGCCUUCGGGAACUCUGAUACAGGUGCUGCAUGGCUGUCGUCAGCUCGUGUUGUGAGAUGUUGGGUUAAGUCCCGCAACGAGCGCAACCCCUAUCCUUAGUUGCUAGCAGGUAAUGCUGAGAACUCUAAGGAGACUGCCGGUGAUAAACCGGAGGAAGG